This 654-nucleotide ribosomal RNA is filed under the name Pseudo-nitzschia cf. delicatissima. RNAcentral describes it as "eukaryotic LSU rRNA". It matches the Rfam family "Eukaryotic large subunit ribosomal RNA", at positions 100 to 835 of the family's 3401-position model. Lineage: Eukaryota; Bacillariophyta; Bacillariophyceae; Bacillariales; Bacillariaceae. The record is from RNAcentral.
GGGACUAACUCAGGAUGUGAAUCUGCGCUGUAUGGCGCCGAAUUGUGGUCUAUAGACUUUGACGUUAUCUGCCGGGCCAAGUUCCUUGGAAAAGGACAGCUGAGAGGGUGAGACUCCCGUCCGCCUGGUAGAGUGAGUCGUUGUCAACGAGUCGAGUUGUUUGGGAUUGCAGCUCUAAUUUGGUGGUAAAUUCCAUCUAAAGCUAAAUAUUGGUGGGAGACCGAUAGCGUACAAGUACCGUGAGGGAAAGAUGCAAAGAACUUUGAAAAGAGAGUUAAAGAGUACCUGAAAUUGCUGAAACGGAAGCGAAGGAAACCAGUGUUUGUUGGUUCAUAUUUCCCUGGCCACUUGUGGUUUGGGCGCUGUGAGCUUGCGUGGGUUUGCUUUGGUUGAUCCCUUUGGAAGAGCGCAGUCAGAGUUGAUGUCUGUUGCUAGCACUGGGUUUGACUAAUGCAGACGAAAUGGUUUUCUUUACCCCGUCUUGAAACACGGACCAAGGAGUCUAACAUAUGUGCGAGUACAGGGGUGUCAAACCCCGGUGCGUAAUGAAAGUGACAGUGGUUGGAUAUUUGCACAAUCCGCCGGCCUCAAUCCUUCGGGAGAACGGUCUGAGUGUGAGCAUACAUGUUGGGACCCGAAAGAUGGUGAACUAUG